This 433-nucleotide ribosomal RNA is filed under the name uncultured bacterium. RNAcentral's name for it is "partial 16S ribosomal RNA". It matches the Rfam family "Bacterial small subunit ribosomal RNA", at positions 29 to 507 of the family's 1533-position model. The record is from RNAcentral.
AGCGAACGCUGGCGGCAGGCCUAACACAUGCAAGUCGAACGAGCCUUUCGGGAUUAGCGGCGGACGGGUGAGUAACGCGUGGGAACGUGCCCUUUGCUGCGGAACAGCUCAGGGAAACUUGGGCUAAUACCGGAUGUGCCCUUCGGGGGAAAGAUUUAUCGCCAUUGGAGCGGCCCGCGUCGGAUUAGCUAGUUGGUGAGGUAAUGGCCCACCAAGCCGACGAUCAGUAGCUGGUCUGAGAGGAUGAUCAGCCACACUGGGACUGAGACACGGCCCAGACUCCUACGGGAGGCAGCAGUGGGGAAUCUUACGCAAUGGGCGAAAGCCUGACGCAGCCAUGCCGCGUGAAUGAUGAAGGUCUUAGGGUUGUAAAGCUCUUUCAGCGGGGACGAUAAUGACGGUACCCGCAGAAGAAGCCCCGGCUAACUUCGUG